RNAcentral lists this ribosomal RNA (492 nucleotides) under uncultured bacterium. RNAcentral's name for it is "partial 16S ribosomal RNA". It matches the Rfam family "Bacterial small subunit ribosomal RNA", at positions 30 to 507 of the family's 1533-position model. The record is from RNAcentral.
AGUGAACGCUGGCGGCAGGCUUAACACAUGCAAGUCGAACGGAAACACAGUAAGAGCUUGCGCUGCCGGGUGGCCGGUGGCGGAAGGGACAGGAAUGUAUCCGGAUCUAGUUUUUCGGGGGGCAUAACGUAGGGAAAGUUACGAUAGUAUCGGAUACGACCUACGGGUGAAAGCAGGGGAACGUUUGGCCUUGCGCGAUUGGAUGAGCCGAUGUGGGAUUAGCUAGUUGGCUGGGUAAAGGCCUACCAAGGCGACGAUCCGUAGCUGGUCUGAGAGGACGGUAGGCGACAUGGGAACUGAGACACGGUCAAGAGUACUACGGGAGGCAGCAGUGGGGAAUGUUGGACAAUGGGCGGAAGUCUGAUCCAGUGAUCCCGCGUGUGUGAAGAAGGCCUUCGGUUUGGAAAGACCUUUUGCUGGGAAAGAAAAGCAGUCGGUUAAUACCCCGCGGUACUGACGGUACCCGAAGAAUAAGCACCGGCUAACUACGUG